UGUUUUAAUUCAUCUUGUUGUGGGUGGAAUUUUCUAACCUAUAUCCCGAAAUUAUAUCCUGACUUUAUAUGUCUAUUUUCGCUGCCAGGAUACUGGACUAGGAUAUUGGUAACAUCCUGCGAGGGUAUCAUGCGUGCUGUUAACAAUUUGCUU
This is a long non-coding RNA of Helianthus annuus (common sunflower), 153 nucleotides long. RefSeq lists it as uncharacterized. The record is from RefSeq and is a predicted model, not a curated record. The transcript has 3 exons. NCBI's taxonomy places the organism in Eukaryota, Viridiplantae, Streptophyta, Magnoliopsida, Asterales, Asteraceae.